RNAcentral lists this transfer RNA (69 nucleotides) under Plethodon cinereus (red-backed salamander). RNAcentral describes it as "tRNA-Met". It matches the Rfam family "tRNA". Rfam says of the family: Transfer RNA (tRNA) molecules are approximately 80 nucleotides in length. Lineage: Eukaryota; Metazoa; Chordata; Amphibia; Caudata; Plethodontidae. The record is from RNAcentral.
AGUAAUAUAAGCUAAAUAAGCUUUUGGGCCCAUACCCCAAAAAUGUUGGUUUAAAACCUUCUAUUACUA